GAUCAUGGCUCGGGAUGAACGCUAGCGACAGGCUUAACACAUGCAAGUCGAGGGGCAGCACAGGUAGCAAUACCGGGUGGCGACCGGCGCACGGGUGAGUAACGCGUAUGCAACUUGCCUAUCAGAGGGGGAUAACCCGGCGAAAGUCGGACUAAUACCGCAUGAAGCAGGGGCCCCGCAUGGGGAUAUUUGCUAAAGAUUCAUCGCUGGUAGAUAGGCAUGCGUUCCAUUAGG
RNAcentral lists this ribosomal RNA (234 nucleotides) under uncultured bacterium. RNAcentral's name for it is "partial 16S ribosomal RNA". It matches the Rfam family "Bacterial small subunit ribosomal RNA", at positions 15 to 245 of the family's 1533-position model. The record is from RNAcentral.